Molecule: non-coding RNA, 9222 nt
Organism: Oryctolagus cuniculus (rabbit)
Lineage: Eukaryota; Metazoa; Chordata; Mammalia; Lagomorpha; Leporidae
Source: RefSeq, a predicted model, not a curated record
GGGGGGGACCAAGGAGGCAGGGUUUCAAAUAUCCUGUCUCGCGGUCUCGUCGUGCAGCCUCCCCGCGCCGCGUCCCAAGGGCUCUGGGAUGGAAGGGACCGCGAGUGGUGGUGGAAGGCCUGGCUGAUUGGGCUGGGAGGAAGGGACAGGGCUCUGGAGGCGGAGUUGUGGUGCAGCGGGCUAAGCUCCAACAGUGGCAUCGGCAUCCAAAAUGAGCACCAGUUCCCAGUCCCGGCUGCUCUGCUUCCAAUCCAGCUCCCUGCUUGUACACCCAGGAAAGCAGCUGAAGAUGGCCCUGCACCCAUGUGGGAGGCCGAGAUGGAGUUCUGGGCUCCUGGCUUCGGCCUGGCCCGGCCCCAGGCAUUGUGGUGGGGAAGAUCUGUGUCCCUUACUCUCUAACUCUGCCUUUCAAUUAAAUCAGCACAUCUUUAAAAAAGAAGAAGAACAUUACUUCCUAAUGAAAGAAAUUUCAAUGUGGAGCACUUUGGGAUUUUUACCAAAAAGAGGGACCUGUAGUUUUAUCUUGCUAAAUUGUAAAAUGUGUCCCCCCAACUCCCUGUCCAUGGCUCUCCCCUCCUUCUUUCUACCAUUGCAACCUCUGGCAAUAUGCCCUUCAAAGAAGAACAAAGAGAACAGAAGAAAAUGGGGAGAGUACUGUUUCUCACCGUCCCCUCAUGUUACACAUGCACAUACACACACACACAUGCACACACACACAUGCACACGCACACACAUACGCACGCGCACACACACCUUGGUGUUUUUCUGCAGGGGGGCUGGAGUCACAGGGCUCUAGUGUUGCCACAUGAUUUGGGGGACCUGUGAUGAAGUGGCCACCUGAAGCUACCUGAGCAGGUCUCCUGGGUAGGUGGCCGCCCCCCCUGCCUCCCAGGGCUGCAGUCAGGAGGGAGCCUAUCUGGGCACUCUGAGAUGGGAGUCUCUGGGUCACCCUGCUCUUAACUGCCCCGGUGAGGUGUGUCUCAGCUCUGAUGGGGUUGCUGACAAGGCUGAGUGCUGACUGUCCCGUCUCCACAGCUGUGUCGCCGGCCAGGAAACCCCCGCGCCCAUCCUCUCUCACCCCUCCUCCUCCUCCCUCCCUGGUGGUCAGCCCGGGAGACAACAGGGUGAAGGUCACAGGCUGUCUGUCCAAGCCUCUUAUGUUACAGAUGGGAUACUGAGGCCCAGCCUCACCCAGCAUCCCCCAUCCCCACCCCCACCCACGCCGGUCGUACCCCCACACACACACCUUUCCCUCUUCCUUCACCCCGGCGGCUUCCUGACUGACGCCAGCCCUGUGUCUCCCAGCCCCACGGCCCAGGCGUCCCGGCCCUCCUGCCCUCCCCGCAAAGGGGCCCCGUCAACGCUCCUCCAACCGAGCCAGGAGGAUGGCCGGUGAUUGACAGUUUACACAGAGAAUCUCACUGAACACAAUUCCUCUCCUAUUUGAAUAACAAUGGGAGCAGCAACUUUGCCAGCUAUUUUGCUUUCCCCUUAAUCAUGAUGUGAAAAACCCAGGGAAGAAAGCGAUAUCAAAGGCUCAUAAGCAUUAUUCAAACCUUCCCUGUCCCAUCGCCCGGCACUUGAAAAGCCAGCAUCGCGGUGAAAACAGACCUGCUGGGGGUGACACUCGACAGCACAUUAACGUGUCAUGGGCGCCUGUCACUUUGCAACCGAAUGCCGGGGUGUCUGGUGCCCUCUCCGGGUGCAGAUGUAGCGCAGCGAGGAGAUCGCUGUGGCCCCCUUGACUUUCCAAAUGAGGAGGCUGACACCCGUCGGAGGAAGGGGCCGGCCGAUGGCUGUGCCGGGCAGAAAAACUGGGACUAGAAGGUUCCGGCCAGGAGCCCUGCUCUCCCGCCUGCAUCGUGAGACCCAGUUGUAGAACCAUGGAAUGUUAACCAGGGAAGAGGUCUCGGUGGUCUUCCUCUAACAUGUGCCGGUUCUGGGCCAUCUGUGCCCCAAGGAAGCCAGCCCCUCACCACAGAGCCUGACACCACUCCCAACAGCACGCGAGUCACAGGCUGGGUCCCAGGAGGAAAUGGCGUUCCAUCCGUGUUACCCUUCCGCUUUGCCGACAGGCGGCUGUGGAAGCCCCCCAGCCGCUGGGUCAGUGGCCAGGAGCCAACCGUUUCUCACAUAGCCGGCCCAGAGCAGAGAGUAAAUUGUCAGAAAUGGCCCGAAGAGGCCAUCAGUGGGAAAUAAAGCAGAGAGUGGUCCGGGAGGCCGGCAGCCGGCGCAGGCUGUCUGCCUCUGCUCCACGGGUCGCGAGCCCGCGGUGCACCCACCCCCCAGCCCGUCCACCCCCCUCUGCCGAAGCCCCGGCUCCUGGGCCCCUCGUUGUUAAAUCACUACUUAGGGGGACCUGUGCUGGAACUCGGUGAGGAGACAUCAGAACGGGCUCAAGGUCACGUGGCCAGUCAGCAGCCAAUCCAAUGCCCAGGCCGGAGAGUGCCUGUCGGGGUUCACAAACUGACCCUGUUUGCCCUCCCCCUGCUAGGCCCAGAAGAAACGCAAGGCUCAAGGGAAGGCUGUUCUCCACUUCCUACCUCCUGGGCUCCCCGGAACCCCAGGGAGGGCCCCCGGGGUCGGGGGGGCUGCAAGCUGCAGUGGGGUGGCUCCAGGGGCAGGCAGGCCAGCCGAGAUGGGGGGAGUGGGGGCUGCCUUCCUGCCCCUCCCCCACCCCAGCAUGAUGUCCACUGCCCACACCCCCACCCCCCUGCGGAGCUCAGCUGGGGCCUCACAGGGGCUGGCCAGGUGCCGAGAGCGGCUUCCUUCUGGCGUGAGUUGCUCCUAGUGGUGUGACUGCUGGGGAAGCCUCUGGCCCCCACGGGGGCAGACGUGCCCCACCUGACUCCCGCUCCGCCAAGGUCAACGGUGAGCGAAGGCAGCUGUGAGUGUCCCUGUCCCAGGCUCCCAGGCUAGGCUGGGGAGGUGUCUGAAUCCUCAGGUUCUGGGGCUGGGGACUCCCUCUGGGGUCAGCAGUGGAGGAAGGCGAAGGACUGAGGUGAGGGCUCUGGGCCGGCCAGCGGGGCUGCACCCCUGCCCCAUCACGUGCUCCCGUGGCCUUGACUUGGCCCCUCCCCGAGAACAGCAGCCAGCAAACACCCGGCGGCGCUGCACUUGAGGGCUGCUGCCUCUGACCGAUGCUGCUCAGCUCAGAGCGCCCAAGGACAGCCCUGGCCACCAGGCGUGGCAGCAGCUGCACUGAGCCUCUCACCAAGGCUGACUUCGGAUCUGUCCCAAGGACGCCGGCCCUCUUGAUGUAACCCAGAGAACCCACUGGGCUGGUGGACACCUAACAGGGCAGUUCUUCAGCAGCCCAGGUGUUCCCGAGCGAUACCCAGCGAUGUGGCUGCCACCACCAGGGCCAGGCCACAGCCUCCCUGCACUCCCCACACCCCCUCGUUCCCCUCCUACUGACUCUUGGGUGUCCAGCCCUACCCAACCAGUGCAAAGCUCCUCUCUCUCUCUCUCUCCCCCCCCCCCACUCUGCAACAGUACCUCCUUCCCCCACCAAUGCUUGUAUUCCUCGAGUAAAUUGGCCACCAAUGCUUGUAUUCCUUGAGUAAAUUGGCACAAGCCGGCUAACAGCUAAGAAAGAAUCAGUUCUGAAGUCACCGAGCCAGGGACCCGGGGGCCGGAGGAACCUUCCAGAGACAGGAAAGCCAGCAGGUGGCGGCCUGCUCGGACAAGCCCUGCCAUGUUCAGCAACCUCAGAGGAUGCGCCCCCCACCCCCACCCCGGGACUGUCUGCUCUUUCCUACUUCCUCUUUAAAAACACCCUCAAAGGAUGUGUGACAGAGAAUCAACCCAAACUGGAUUAUCCCCACCUCUGUGGAGCAGCCGCGCUGUAAGAAGCGUGCAGGCCGAGUGUCCUGGUUUUCCCAAAGGCUCCCAGUGGAAGGACAGAGGUUUCCGGGGCCUGGCCUGGCUGUUUGGCACCCUGUCCAGUUGCCCCUCCCCGUGCUGCCCACCAGCUUCCGGGGAACGCUAGCCUCGGGAGCUGUCCUGGGCCUUGUGCAUGCCAGAGCCCUUGCCCAUGGCCUCCCUCUGUGUCCUUGCUGGCUGGAGGCCACGGGUCCGACUUGCCGGGCCAUUGCUCGGCUACUGGUUGGGUGCCUGGCAUGGGGGCCCCCACUCCCAGUCCCUGUCUCUGUGGAGCUUCCAGUCUUGAUAAGGGACCCAGGAAGGGAGUGGCUGCAUUGCACCCACAGCACACCUGUGAGGCUGGAGGGCCUCUGCACAGACCCCUCCCGCCAGAGAGGAAAGGCGAGGCGCUGCCCAGGCCGCAUCUGACCGCAGCUUCUCAGAUAGCGGAGCCAGAGUUCAGGGCCCUUUCUGUCUUCGCCAGCACAGGUGAGGUGCUCCGGGCACUCGGCCGUCCCCCGAGGGCCUGUCUGGCUCUUUUCCUUCCACGGCCCGUUUAGCUCCUUGCCCCCAGUCCCCUGCACCUCCCUCUGUUUAUGUUGGGGCUGACGUUUCUAUUGACGUAUUGAUCUCUCUAGCCGAGGAGCGUUUCUGCUGAACGGGCCUGCUUCUCGCUCAGGGGCCAGCAGGGCAGGCUCGGGUGGGGGUGGCAGGAAUGGGGGGGCUCGAGUCUGGGAUUGGAAUCGGAAGGGGUGUCAGGAGUUUUAAAAGAUUAUUUAUGAUCACUUAUUUAUUUGAAAGGCAGAGUUGAGAGAGAGGGAGACAUAUCUUCCAUCUGCUGGCUUACUUCUCAGAUGGCUGCAACGGCCAGGGCUGGGCCAGGCUGAGGCCAGGAACCUGAAACUCCAUCUGGGUCUCCCAUGUGGGCGCAGGGACCCAAGUCCUUGGGCCAUCAUCUGCUGCCUUCCCAGGUGCAUUAGCAGAGAGGUAAAUUGGAAGUGGAGCAGCCAGAACUCGAACCGGCACCCAUAUGGGAUGGCGGCACUGCAGGCGGCGGUUUAACCAGCUGCGCCACAAUGAUGGACCCAGCAUGGAGAUUUUGAUGGGAGCAGAGAAGUGAUUACCUGAAGGAGGAAAGUGGUCAGGGCUGACCCCUCUGAUCAUGCAUCCGUGUCCGCCCCCGGUGGCCUUUGGGGGACAGGACGCGAUGAGACAUGCAUUGGCAUGGAGUCUUAGGAGCCACUCCAGAACCGAGUGGAGGAGCUUUCCCGCCCUGUUCUUCAUCCGUGGCUAAGAGGCUCACGACUUGGGGAUGUGCUUUAAAGCCUUGUGCAUCCCCGAGGCGUGAGCAUGCAUGAAGAUGUGGCAGCCACUUCCUGGGGAACUUAGCCAGGUGUGACCUUGAGGGCAGAGUUCUGUCCUUGGCAGCUGGCCUCGGGGAAGGGGAUGGCAACACGGUCUGAAAAUGGGCCCUUCUGUUGUCCAGACAAAAACACUUGUGUCCGGGCUGGCACUGUGGCGCAGCAGGUUAAGGUCCUGGCCUGAAGCUCCAGCAUCCCAUGUGGGCGCCGGUUCUAGUCCUGGCUGCUCCACUUCCGAUCCAGCUCUCUGCUAUGGCCUGGGAAAGCAGUAGAAGAUGGCCCAAGUCCUUGGGCCCCUGCCCCCAUGUGGAAGACCCGGAGGAAGCUCCUGGCUUCAGAGUGGCACAACUCCAGCUGUUGGCGGCAAGUUGGGGAGUGAACCAGUGGAUAGAAGACCUCUCUCUCUCUCUCUGCCUCUCCUCUCUCUGUGUAACUCUGACUUUCAAAUAAAUAAAUAAAAAUCUUUAAAAAAAAAAAAAAGAAGAAGAAGAACACUUGUGUCCACCUGACAGUUGGCACAGCAGUUCCGCAGCCAGGCCCCCUCAGCGCCAGAGCUCCUGCCAGCCCCUCACCGGGCCAGCAGGCUUUGGUUCCGGAUGGGGUCUCUUUGUUGCAAGAACCCUGGAGGCAUUAGGGAGCUGCUACUUUGCCUUUCACUUUUCAUCGCUUCCUUGCGGGGUUUCCUCUCACUGGCUUCUUGUGGCUCUGGACCCCUGCCUGCACAGCCCCUGCCCUCAACACACGGUCUUCCCACUCGGGCCUGGCCUUCCGUGGGGUGGUGAUGAGCCCUUCAUCGGCAGUUACACGUGAUGAGACGUCACAUUGAUUUGCACUUGACACCGUCUGCUAACCCGGCACCUUCACGCACGCGGGCCAGCAAGACGCUAGCAAGUUGCAUGUCAGGGAAUGCGUGUUCUCACCUUAGUGGGGGGAGAAGUGGGCAGGGCCUGGGUCCUGGUUCCGGCUCCACUGCUGCCCAGGGGGUGGGCACUUCCCUGCCUCUCCCCAGGGCUGGAUUCCAGGCCACUCGCCCUUGGCUCUGACAUUCUAGGCUUUAAGAACGCUGGGGACCCAGGCAUCGGAUUCCACAUCUGCAGGACGCAAGCCUCCACAGCAGCACCUGCACUGGCCAGCCCUGCGGAAUAACUGUCCAGGUACCCACUGAGCCAUGCCACACGUCAGGCUCUGCUGUAGGCCCAGGCAAGCCACAGAGGUGAGGUCGGACCCAGCCUGGCCCCUGCCGUUCUUCUCCUGUGUGCACCCCAUGGAGUCCAGCAGCCUCCUGACUGAGACACGGGAGAGAAGGUGUCUGCGGGACCCAGGAUUGCACAGCGAACCUGGCAGUGCUGAAAGAAUCAUCCGGCCCCGGAUUGCCCAGACAGAAGGCACAGCCCGGAGUGGGGCCUGGGUGAUGCGUGCAGGCCACAGAGGCUUGUGAGGCUGGUGUGGCUGGCCCCCGCCUGCACUUCAGGGGCGCAGCCCUCAGGUUUCUUCCUGGAGAGGGGAAUCCCCCAUCUCCUGAUUCAGUAACUCUUCCACUCUGGCGUCUUCUCUCUCCCUCCAGCCGCCUGCACCUGGCCUUGGCUGCACCUGGCCUUGGCUAAUGUUGGUGAGCCGGACCGGGAGGGCGCAGGGGACCCUGUCUGCCAGUCGAGGGGCCAAAGUCACCCCUCCAUCCUCCAGGAAACCACACAAGCCACUUCCCCCAGGGUCCGGCUGUGAGGCCACUUCUGUCCCCACCUGUUGAUUGGUGAGUUUUCAACUCUGUGGGAGGUUUCCUAAAACAGGAUGCCCUCCCGCACUGAUGCACACGGAAGCAGCCACGCUGGGGACACCUGCCACCCCUCAGGCCGGAUGGGACAGGAACCGAGGGCUUUCCAAGUGCUGCUUUUCUAAACCCGAUAAUGAGAAGCAGGAGCCCCCUGCACAGUGGGCAGUGGGAGGCCCAGGUCUGGGUUCCUGAUCCACACAGGAAACACUAACAUUUUUAAAUUCAAGAGACAGAGAGAAGAGAGAGAGAGCUUGCAUCAGCUGGUUCAUCCCCCGAAUGCCAGCAACGGCUAGGAGCUGAAGCCAAGAGCUUAGCAUUCAGCCCAGGUCGUCUCCCACCUGGGUGCAGGUAACUCACCACUCGAGCCGUCACUGCUGUCUCCGGGGGUCUGCAUGGGCAGGAAGCUGGAGCCAGGAGCUGUAUCAAACCCAGGCCCUCCGAUGCAGGACGCGGGCAUCCUGGCCAGCAUUUGUAAUGCCUGGGCUAAAUGCCCAGCCCAAGAAACGACUGUGCGUCACUCGGGCUGCCCCUAGAGUCUCGGUAAGCCUGGGGUGGUUCCGUGUUGACUCUGCCUGCCCUAAGUGGUGUAUGAGGGGAGUGAGGCGGGGACACCCUUCCCGCCCGGGAAUACUGCAGUCUCCGAGUGACAAAGCCAAACGCACUCAAAGAGGUUCGGAGAGAGAUUGCAUUAGGGAGCAGUUGCCUGCGAUUGUUACCAAACUUUUGAAAAAGCAAGAAACAACAAAGAAAUAAAAGCAGUAGAUAAUUAAGUACAUAAUUGUACACACCACUUGUUAAUUAAGCUUUUACUCCUAAAACCUGACAGAAUCUGCUUACAAGGUGCUAGCGGGCGGGAGCGCAGCAUAUGGUGCACCAUCUGCGACGCCAGCGCUCGGCCGUGACAGCGGCUCUGCCCCACGGAGAGCAGGCGAGGCUAAAUGUGGUUUUCCGGAGCACAGCGAUCCGUCUUCAUUCCUGCAGAACGCGAGGGGACGGCGUGAGCACGCGGCAGAGAACUGUCAGGGAGAGGCCCCGCGCCAGGCCCGCCCCCCGCCACUGGCCACUGCACCCAGAGCCUUCUGGGAACCCCUGUGCUUGCCGCCUCUGCCUACAAGCAUUUUUUUAAGCUUUUGCAUUUAACAAUCAUUUAUUUGAAAGGCAGUUACAGAGAGAGGAGAGAGACAGAGAUCUUCCAUUCGCUGGUUCACUCCCCUGAUAGGGGAAGGGAGCUGGAUCCAUGGCGAAGCAGCCAGGACUCUCAUUGGUAUCCCAUGCUGGUGCUGCAGGCGGCGGCUUUACCUGCUGCACACGUGAAGAGCUCAAGGUCUUGAGAGACGUAGUCGCAGAGGGCUUGACAGUCCGUCACGGCAGGUGUCUGAGAGGUCCUUAAUGUCCCCAUGCGGCCGUCUGAGCUGUGAAGUGGAGAUGGCGGCCCCCACCCUCCCCGGGACACGAGCCCCCGUGAUGAUGAGCCCGUGCGGAAAGCACACUGGACAUGGAGGCUUUACGUGGUCAAGAAGCUCUUGCAUUCCAUGAGCUCAGAACUGCAUUUUCAUUUAGGCCCGGCCCGGCCUCCAGGGCUGCGGGCAGCCGGGGGAGAGGCCUGGGGGCGCCCUGGGGAGAUGGUCUUGGGGAGAGGGCAGCAGGUGGGGCUGUCUCCUCCCUGCCGAGGGCCUUCCCGGUUCCUCUGCUUGUCCUCUGAGCGGCCACAGGCAGCCCUGCCGACCCUGGCGCGUGGGAGAUGGCCUCGGGGGUCAGUGGGUGGGCUGGCCCUGGGGCUCCGCCUCUCUCACUGCCUUCUCUCCCCCGUCCCCAGGCGGCACCUGGUGUUCUUGUGCAGAAUCUGUCCCCACUCCUGGGUCCUUAGCCCUGCCUACCCCAUGAGGGGCUGUCUGGGGUCUCAUGCCCACCCCUUGGUCCUGUGACUUAGCACAAAACAGUGAUCUUGGGAGGGACCCCAUAUUCAGAACUGCCCUCAGUGGCUGGCGCUGUGGCGCAGUGGGUUAAGCUGCCACCUGCAGCGCCAGCAUCCCAUAGGAGCAACAGCUGAGUCCCGGCUGCUCCACUUCCUGCCCAGCUCUCUAAUGAGCCUGGGAAGGCAGCGGAAAAUGGCCCAAGUAUUUGACCCCUGCCACCUACGUGGGAGACCCCGCGGAAGCUUCUGGUUCCUGGCUUCAGCUUGGCUCCUGGCUUUGGCCUGGCCGUUUCAGCCAUUUGUGGGGGGUG